AUCGGACUAGGAUAUAGCUGGUUUUCUGCGAAAUCUAUUUUGGUAGAUAGCUUAAAUAAUAAUGUUUGUUUGUUAGUCUUAUUAGUGGGUAUAGCACUGAAUAUCUAAUUUUAUUUGAAGGGAGUAUGAAAGUACUUACUUUGGAUAUUUAAUCUCAGAAUAACUAAUGGAUGAAAAGUA
This 180-nucleotide ribosomal RNA is filed under the name Pneumocystis sp. RNAcentral describes it as "partial large subunit ribosomal RNA". The record is from RNAcentral. Lineage: Eukaryota; Fungi; Ascomycota; Pneumocystomycetes; Pneumocystales; Pneumocystaceae.